GAUGAACGCUGGCGGCGUGCCUAAUACAUGCAAGUCGAGCGAACAGACGAGGAGCUUGCUCCUCUGACGUUAGCGGCGGACGGGUGAGUAACACGUGGAUAACCUACUUAUAAGACUGGGAUAACUUCGGGAAACCGGAGCUAAUACCGGAUAAUAUAUUGAACCGCAUGGUUCAAUAGUGAAAGACGGUUUUGCUGUCACUUAUAGAUGGAUCCGCGCCGCAUUAGCUAGUUGGUAAGGUAACGGCUUACCAAGGCAACGAUGCGUAGCCGACCUGAGAGGGUGAUCGGCCACACUGGAACUGAGACACGGUCCAGACUCCUACGGGAGGCAGCAGUGGGGAAUCUUCCGCAAUGGGCGAAAGCCUGACGGAGCAACGCCGCGUGAGUGAUGAAGGUCUUCGGAUCGUAAAACUCUGUUAUUAGGGAAGAACAAAUGUGUAAGUAACUAUGCACGUCUUGACGGUACCUAAUCAGAAAGCCACGGCUAACUACGUG
This 497-nucleotide ribosomal RNA is filed under the name uncultured bacterium. RNAcentral describes it as "partial 16S ribosomal RNA". It matches the Rfam family "Bacterial small subunit ribosomal RNA", at positions 28 to 507 of the family's 1533-position model. The record is from RNAcentral.